GAUUCCUACGGGAGGCAGCAGUGGGGAAUUUUGGACAAUGGGCGAAAGCCUGAUCCAGCAAUGCCGCGUGCAGGAUGAAGGCCCUCGGGUUGUAAACUGCUUUUGUACGGAACGAAAAGCCUGGGGCCAAUACCCCCGGGUCAUGACGGUACCGUAAGAAUAAGCACCGGCUAACUACGUGCCAGCAGCCGCGGUAAUACGUAGGGUGCAAGCGUUAAUCGGAAUUACUGGGCGUAAAGCGUGCGCAGGCGGUUUUGUAAGACAGUGGUGAAAUCCCCGGGCUCAACCUGGGAACUGCCAUUGUGACUGCAAGGCUAGAGUGCGGCAGAGGGGGAUGGAAUUCCGCGUGUAGCAGUGAAAUGCGUAGAUAUGCGGAGGAACACCGAUGGCGAAGGCAACCCCCUGGGCCUGCACUGACGCUCAUGCACGAAAGCGUGGGGAGCAAACAGGAUUAGAUACCCUGGUAGUCCACGCCCUAAACGAUGUCAACUGGUUGUUGGGUCUUAACUGACUCAGUAACGAAGCUAACGCGUGAAGUUGACCGCCUGGGGAGUACGGCCGCAAGGUUGAAACUCAAAUGAAU
This 583-nucleotide ribosomal RNA is filed under the name uncultured prokaryote. RNAcentral's name for it is "bacterial SSU rRNA". It matches the Rfam family "Bacterial small subunit ribosomal RNA", at positions 334 to 910 of the family's 1533-position model. The record is from RNAcentral.